Molecule: ribosomal RNA, 463 nt
Filed under: uncultured bacterium
Lineage: Bacteria
Description: partial 16S ribosomal RNA
Rfam family: Bacterial small subunit ribosomal RNA
Source: RNAcentral
GAUGAACGCUGACAGAAUGCUUAACACAUGCAAGUCGAUGGGGAAGUGGUGCUUGCACCCUGGUAACCAUGGCGGACGGGUGAGUAACGCGUAAGGAACUUACCUGCGGGACCGGGAUAACAGCAGGAAACUGCUGACAAGACCGGAUAAGGUCAUUAAGCUGCAUAGCUUAGUGAUGAAAGGAGACGCCUGCGGAGAGCCUUGCGUCCUAUUAGCUAGUUGGAGGGGUAACGGCCCACCAAGGCGAAGAUAGGUAGCCGGCCUGAGAGGGUGGACGGCCACAAGGGGACUGAGAUACGGCACUUACUCCUACGGGAGGCAGCAGUGGGGAAUAUUGGACAAUGGGGGCAACCCUGAUCCAGCAAUUCUGUGUGCACGAAGACGGUUUUCGGAUUGUAAAGUGCUUUCAGAAGGGAAGAAGGAAGUGACGGUACCUGCAGAAGAAGCGACGGCUAAAUACGUG